GAUGAACGCUAGCUACAGGCUUAACACAUGCAAGUCGAGGGGAAACGCCAUCGAAAGCUUGCUUUUGAUGGGCGUCGACCGGCGCACGGGUGAGUAACGCGUAUCCAACCUGCCCAUCACUUGGGAAUAACCUUGCGAAAGUAAGACUAAUACCCAAUGACAUCCCACGAAGACAUCUGAAUGGGAUUAAAGAUUUAUCGGUGAUGGAUGGGGAUGCGUCUGAUUAGCUUGUUGGCGGGGUAACGGCCCACCAAGGCAACGAUCAGUAGGGGUUCUGAGAGGAAGGUCCCCCACAUUGGAACUGAGACACGGUCCAAACUCCUACGGGAGGCAGCAGUGAGGAAGAUUGGGCAAUGGGCGAGAGCCUGAACCAGCCAAGUAGCGUGCAGGAUGACGGCCCUAUGGGUUGUAAACUGCUUUUAUAAGGGAAUAAAGUGGGUCUCGUGAGACUUUUUGCAUGUACCUUAUGAAUAAGGACCGGCUAAUUCCGUG
This 492-nucleotide ribosomal RNA is filed under the name uncultured bacterium. RNAcentral describes it as "partial 16S ribosomal RNA". It matches the Rfam family "Bacterial small subunit ribosomal RNA", at positions 28 to 507 of the family's 1533-position model. The record is from RNAcentral.